GCGCGCCCGCGCUUUAUUUUUGGCGCAUGCACACCCCACGGUAGCCUCAAGGUCGGCGACAACCCUGAUCGGUCGGGGUCCCCCGCCCAUCCGUGCUCUCCCGCCCGCCAAGGACGCGGGAAGGAGCAAGUCCCCCAGUGGCGGCGGGGCAUCUUGGGGCGCCCGCGCAAUUUCAGCAUUGUCGUGCUGGAGUGGGGACAAGCAGGCAGAAGCCGGUCCCCAAAGGUGUGGACUUGGACCUUUCCGAGUGGGCAGCCGGGGCCUGGCUGGUCCCAGCCGCGCCCCCGGCUUGCUGCCCACCCCCAGGGCCUCCCUGCAGCCCCUUGGCAUCCUCUCUGCGAGCUGUCACGGAAUUUGGCUCUGAGAGGCAGCUGGUCCUGGCCAGGAUCCCUGGUCCAUCUCAAAUGGAAACAGUUCCUCCUGAGGAAUCGGCCGGGAAUCUCAGUGGAAAUGCACUGGGGCAGGGCCCCCUGGCGUGUUUAACCAAGGCCAAGCUUACCACUUUGAGGCAAGGGAUGCUUCAAAUGGAGCGGGAUUCCUGGUUACAGACUGAGAUUCUUGCAGAGAGAAUUACAAGAGGAUGGACUCCAACAAGGGAAAAGGGGCGUCCAAGCAAUGGAGUGGGCUGUAAGCAAUAGUGGUCUGGAGGAAGAGGAAAACCGGAGAAGCUGGCGGUCUGCGGUGGCUGAGCUGCCCCCAGACCCUGGAACAAGACUCGUCUGCACCACCAAGGUAGCCCUCAGACCUACCCACUCAGGCUGCUGGACCGCCUGAGCGCCCGAGCCCCGGACCCGGAGGCCAGGGGCGCCAGCCCCUCAUGUUCCGGAGAACGCGCAAAUGUGAUGUCAUGCCCAUUGUUUUGGUGCGCCCAACCAAUCGGACUCGCCGCCUGGAUUCUACCGGAGCCGGCAUGGGCCCUUCCUCGCACCAGCAGCAGGAGUCCCCGCUCCCGACCAUAACGCAUUGCGCAGGGUGCACCACCGCCUGGUCUCCCUGCAGCUUUAACAGCCCUGACAUGGAAACCCCAUUGCAGUUCCAGCGCGGCUUCUUCCCAGAGCAGCCGCCGCCACCGCCGCGCUCCUCACACCUGCAUUGCCAGCAGCAGCAACAGAGCCAGGACAAGCCGUGCGCGCCCUUCGCGCCCCUCCCGCACCCUCACCACCACCCGCACCUCGCACACCAGCAGCCGGGCAGCGGUGGCAGCAGCCCAUGCCUCCGGUGCAACAGCUGCGCCUCCUCCGGUGCCCCAGCGGCGGGGGCGGGGGCGGGGGAUAACCUGUCCCUGCUGCUCCGCACCUCCUCGCCCGGCGGCGCCUUCCGGACCCGCACCUCCUCGCCGCUGUCGGGCUCUUCGUGCUGCUGCUGCUGCUCGUCGCGCCGGGGCAGCCAGCUCAAUGUGAGCGAGCUGACGCCGUCCAGCCAUGCCAGUGCGCUCCGGCAGCAGUACGCGCAGCAGCCCGCGUCCGCCUCCCAGUACCACCAGUGCCACAGCCUGCAGCCCGCCGCCAGCCCCACAGGCAGCCUGGGCAGCCUGGGCUCCGGGCCCCCGCUCUCGCACCACCACCACCACCCGCACCCGGCGCACCACCAGCAUCACCAACCCCAGGCGCGCCGCGAGAGCAACCCCUUCACCGAAAUAGCCAUGAGCAGCUGCAGGUACAACGGGGGCGUCAUGCGUCCGCUCAGCAACUUGAGCUCGUCCCGCCGGAACCUGCACGAGAUGGACUCCGAGGCUCAGCCCCUGCAGCCCCCCGCGUCCGUCGUAGGAGGAGGUGGUGGCGCGUCCUCCCCGUCUGCUGCCGCCGCCGCCUCUUCCUCAGCCCCGGAGAUCGUGGUGUCUAAGCCGGAGCACAACAAUUCCAACAACCUGGCGCUCUACGGAACCGGCGGCGGAGGCAGCACCGGAGGCGGCGGCGGCGGCGGCGGAGGCAGCGGGCAUGGCAGCAGCAGCGGCACCAAGUCCAGCAAAAAGAAGAACCAGAACAUCGGCUACAAGCUGGGCCACCGGCGCGCCCUGUUUGAGAAGCGCAAGCGGCUCAGCGACUACGCGCUCAUCUUCGGCAUGUUCGGCAUCGUGGUCAUGGUCAUCGAGACCGAGCUGUCGUGGGGCGCCUACGACAAGGCGUCGCUGUAUUCCUUAGCUCUGAAAUGCCUUAUCAGUCUCUCCACGAUCAUCCUGCUCGGUCUGAUCAUCGUGUACCACGCCAGGGAAAUACAGUUAUUCAUGGUGGACAAUGGAGCAGAUGACUGGAGAAUAGCCAUGACUUAUGAGCGUAUUUUCUUCAUCUGCUUGGAAAUACUGGUGUGUGCUAUUCAUCCCAUACCUGGGAAUUACACGUUCACAUGGACGGCCCGGCUUGCCUUCUCCUAUGCCCCCUCCACAACCACCGCUGAUGUGGAUAUUAUUUUAUCUAUACCAAUGUUCUUAAGACUCUAUCUGAUUGCCAGAGUCAUGCUUUUACACAGCAAACUUUUCACCGAUGCCUCCUCUAGAAGCAUUGGGGCACUUAAUAAGAUAAACUUCAAUACGCGUUUUGUUAUGAAGACUUUAAUGACUAUCUGCCCAGGAACUGUACUCUUGGUUUUUAGUAUCUCAUUAUGGAUAAUUGCCGCAUGGACUGUCCGAGCUUGUGAAAGGUACCAUGAUCAACAGGAUGUUACUAGCAACUUCCUUGGAGCAAUGUGGUUGAUAUCAAUAACUUUUCUCUCCAUUGGUUAUGGUGACAUGGUACCUAACACAUACUGUGGGAAAGGAGUCUGCUUGCUUACUGGAAUCAUGGGUGCAGGUUGCACAGCCCUGGUGGUAGCCGUAGUGGCAAGAAAGCUAGAACUUACCAAAGCAGAAAAGCAUGUGCACAAUUUCAUGAUGGAUACUCAGCUGACCAAAAGAGUGAAAAACGCAGCCGCCAAUGUACUCAGGGAAACGUGGUUAAUCUACAAAAACACAAAGCUAGUGAAAAAGAUCGACCACGCUAAAGUAAGAAAGCAUCAGCGGAAAUUCUUGCAAGCUAUUCAUCAGUAAGUACCUGUUUUCGUUUCUGUCUUCUUUCUUCUUAGCCUUGGCUUUUGAUUCUUGUGCUCCCUGGUCCUCCCUUUGUGAGGGAGAAAAAGAAAAAGGCACUGCCAUGUUUGCUUCCAGGAGACAUCUGAAAAUCUAAUAAUGGACUAAGAGAAAGGCUUAGUUCUUUUUAUGGCUGGAAAGCAUGUGUGAUAUAAUCAAAAUACCUUUGUCUUUGGAGGCCAUAAUUUCUGUUAGAAUUAUAUUUAAUUAAUGCAUUUAUUUUUAUAGUUUGACCUGAAAUGUUCAGCUUGUAUCCACGAUAGAAUCUUGGGAGAAGUGGUGAGGGACAUUAUAUGAUCCAUCUGGAUUUUUACAUGCUAGCAAAUAUCUUUAUAUAACAUAGUAUAUUUAAUUGUCUUAAUUCUGCAAUAUUCAAUGACUUCUUAAUCAAAAAAUUGGGGGUUAUCUAUAUGCUGUGUGAUCAUUAUAGAGUUUAGAGUUGGUAUAGUUCAAUUUUCUCUUAUUAAGUUACUUUUAUUCAACUGACAUAAGCUGUUCAUGCAUGUCUUUGUUAUAUAAUUACUUGUCUCUUAAGUUAACUGUCUGUGAUUCAGUGAUGACUGAGAAACAGACCUUUCCAGGCUGACAUUGUCUACACAUUGCCUUCACAUGUGGGUAUCCACUGUGACACCAGACAGACUUGCUCUUAAUGCCCUUUCUUCGUGGUCACAUUUGUGGCUCAGGAAAGUGGUUUUCCUUGUGAGACAUACCAGGGUAACAAUGGAAAUGUGGGUAAAUAUUAGGUCUUUGCCUGUGCCACAUGAUUGGCCUUCUCAGACCCAUCUAGUACAACAGACAAGAAAGCUGUGAGUCUGGGAUUUUUCUUUUACAUAUUUAGUUCAUUCAUAAGCAACAUGGUACCACUAACCUUCUGUGAGGAAUCCAUAGACUUUCAUUUUCUGACUUUUCACUGGUCCAGCCUCUGCCCUGCUUGGUUGGGAUAUUAAGGUAUCCUGGUAAGUCUAUAGUGUGCCUAUAAUGAUGCUCAUGUGCAUACUUCUAUGGGAUUGAAACCUCUGUUAGUGCAAAUAAAACCCAAGUAACUCUGGGAUUAAAAUAGAGCAAGCUUUGCACAUGUGGUAGAAUUGCUUAUCAUUAUUGCUCACAGCUAUUCACUUGUGCUCCUUAUUGCCCCCCAUGUACUUUCCUUAGAAGGGGAUGGUAUUUCUCCUCUACCUCUAUGACUUGACUAGGUACACAACUGCCCUCCAGCCUUUAAGGAAAUGACAGGACUCUUUUUAAAGUCAGGGGAAAACAAAGAGGAGAAUUAUGUUAGAGCUGGCUCACAAAGCAGGAGCCUGCUUCUUGAAAUUCAGUUACCUUUGGGACCCAGGGUCAACCCAGGAACACCAGCCCAGAUGGUGGCAUUCCUUUCAUUCUCCGUACUAGAGGGGUGAGGCCCCAAGAAAUAUCUGGAUUCUUCCUGUGUUCCCUGAGCCCAUCUAGACAGCCCCUUUCUCAGAGGAUUCACUUGGAAAGAGCCCAUUAGAAAAAGUCUGCCUUCUAAAGCCGUUCAACACAGUAACCCCACCAUUAAUAUGAGCAAUCACGGCAAACUAUGGAGAGAUCGUUUUUGUUCUGUUAAUGUUUUUUUGGUAGUCUAUUUUGUUUGAGUAUGAUAGAAAGCUUCCCUUUCUGGGUAUGAGAAGACAACAUCCAAACGUAAAGGGUAUGCGAGAUGAAGUAGGAGUAAGUAUGUACAUGUGUUGUGAUCAUGCUUCAUUUUGUGUGCCUAUCAGUGAAAAUACCUAAAAUACAGUCAUAUUUGAUUUGCCUCUUGAAUAAAAAAAUCCAAAGCAUGCACCAAUAGAUUUUUGUAAUGCAGUCCUGUAACUUUAUGGGUAUGGUGAUUAUUAGUCUAUUUUGUCAAGUACUUUGAGUUACAAGUGCAUCCAUACUAAUAUGGGAUAAUAGUCUGGUAUUUAUUCAUUGCAAAAUCUUUUAGCAUUGCUGUAAGUUUCUUUUCUAACAAAAUACUAUUUAAAAAAAUUCUCUGUACAAGGAAGCUGAUUUUAUGAACUGGCCAAAAGUAAGUGGCAAAUUUGCCCUAUGGGGCAUGUCAGCCUGAUUGGAAGGGCACAUGGGAGGAACUUCUAUGGAGUUCUUCGCUGGCUGCUCUGGAUAGUGUGACAGAAGCCACUCUUAUUCUUCUUCUGCUUCCAUCAGACUUUUCCCAUAAUCAUCCUUUUCUUGCCCUUUUUAAUGCGAUGUGUGCAUCUAAAGCAGAUGAGUCUGACGUAAUUCAAUUAUGUUCAAAAUUGUUUUAUAAGUUAGUUUGGGGUUUGCUGAGUUCCCUGCUGUGGAGACUACUUAACGUUUAUGAACAAUUGCAGCAGAAUAAGCGUGGUUACAGGGGCUGGGUUUGGCUAGAUUAUUCUACUGGUGCAUAAUCACUUGUCAUGCUAUCUUCUGUUGGGAGUUGUAGAGUGAUGUCAUGAAAGACAGCACACAGGGCUCGAUUCCUCAGGGCCAGGUCUUCACUGUCCACUGCUCAGGGGUGCUCAGCAUCAUCUGCCAGCACUGCAUGAAGUAGACCUAGUUGGACAAAAACUCACCAGUCAUUGACUGGAGCUUGUCUGGCUUUUGCUACUCUCCCUGAGAGCCAUUUUAGCACCUCUGUCCUCUUCUACCAGCCCCCUCUAGCUCAGCUCUUACUCUUUUCCAUACUUUAUGGCCUCUUUCCCAACAUGCGACCUCUCUAGCCUCUGAUGAUGCUAAACUCUCUAGGUCAGUGCGCUCUUUUCAGUAAUGCAUUUGUCUUUAUGAAUUGUCGCUCAAUGCCAUGCAGUGUUUUCUCUCUCUCUAACUUUCAACCCUUUUUCUGAUAGCAGCUUUAACUUUUUCAUUCUUCUGUCUCAACCAUGGAUCCAUCAAUCAACACGAACUUGUCUAGAGCCAAGAAAGCUAAUGUGCAUAAUUUAUAUUAGAGGGGGAUUCUGAAUAGCCCCGAUAUGGAAAAGAUAUGCUCUCCCUUCAAAAGAAUCAUUAUAUCUGUCAUUCUAAGCCAAAGUGUUUCCUAUUAUUCCCCUGAACACCAAGUAUGAAGAGGCCAACAUGACUUUUAUGCACCUUCUUCAUUCUGAAUUCUGGUGUAAGAGGAAGCCAAGUGCUUUCAGGUAGGCAGAGUAUAGUAGCAACAAAGGAUGGUGAUGAACUGAAUAGUGCCAAUCAAUGUCAAGAUCCUGCAGGGUCUUCCAGCUGAUGAAUCGAGCCCCCUGUGCACAACUGAACACCACAUUAUGUUAUUUUGUUUCGGAAUACUUUACAGUUUCUUUUCUUUUGUUUUGUCUUUUUAUUUCAACAAAAUGAAAAUAGAGCUCGGAAAUUGAGAAGUGUGAAGAUGGAACAGAGGAAACUAAAUGAUCAAGCAAAUACCCUAGUGGAUCUGGCAAAGACCCAGAAUAUCAUGUAUGACAUGAUUUCCGACUUAAA
Molecule: RNA transcript, 6493 nt
Organism: Peromyscus californicus insignis
Lineage: Eukaryota; Metazoa; Chordata; Mammalia; Rodentia; Cricetidae
Gene: Kcnn2
Gene name: potassium calcium-activated channel subfamily N member 2
Exons: 11
Source: RefSeq, a predicted model, not a curated record